AUGCAUAUUUUCUCAAUUGUAACUCGAAUGAAAUCGAAACAGCAUAACGUUUAUAACUCAAUCAAGCCAUUUUCUCUAAAUUAUCAACAACAUAGUAGUAAAGGGGUUGAAAGAUACCGAAAAGCUGAAAUCGGAAACAGUGGAAUAUCGGAGACAAAUCGCAUGCUGAACAGAAGCUGUAUGAAUGCUGUUGUGAUGGAGAGAGAUGCGAUGGCUAGAGCUUGCGGAAUCAGAGGCCAGAAGAAGAACACAGGGAGUCUGGCUUGGAUUUGA
Molecule: non-coding RNA, 273 nt
Organism: Vicia faba (fava bean)
Lineage: Eukaryota; Viridiplantae; Streptophyta; Magnoliopsida; Fabales; Fabaceae
Source: the annotation of a GenBank genome assembly